UACGUAGGUGACCAGCGUUGUCCGGAUUUACUGGGCGUAAAGAGCGCCCUGGCGGUCGUUCAAGUCGAGUGUGAAAGCCCCCGGCUCAACUGGGGAGGGUCACUUGAUACUGAUCGACUCGAAGGCAGGAGAGGGAAGCGGAAUUCCCGGUGUAGUGGUGAAAUGCGUAGAUAUCGGGAGGAACACCUGUGGCGAAAGCGGCGCACUGGACCAUAACUGACGCUGAGGCGCGAAAGCUAGGGGAGCAAACAGG
Molecule: ribosomal RNA, 253 nt
Filed under: uncultured bacterium
Lineage: Bacteria
Description: partial 16S ribosomal RNA
Rfam family: Bacterial small subunit ribosomal RNA
Source: RNAcentral